Molecule: ribosomal RNA, 762 nt
Filed under: Miconia sp. 3 RK-2014
Lineage: Eukaryota; Viridiplantae; Streptophyta; Magnoliopsida; Myrtales; Melastomataceae
Description: eukaryotic LSU rRNA
Rfam family: 5.8S ribosomal RNA (bases 258-446)
Source: RNAcentral
GGAUCAUUGUCGAAAUCGAACGGAAGAACGACCCGCGAAUCGUCAUUGCGUAGUAGACAGAGCCCGUGAGCACCCAACGCUCACGGGUCUCGCGUCGCGUCGGCGCGGGUGUACUCGAGACCCGCGUCGUACCGGCGGACAAACAACGUCAGCACGGAUCGUGCCAAGGAACUGCAUGGAGAGAAUCGUCGUCCCACGCCUUUGACAGUCCUCGACGCGGGACGGGGGAUGUACGCAAUCUCUACUCAAGUCUAAACGACUCUCGGCAACGGAUAUCUCGGCUCUUGCAUCGAUGAAGAACGUAGCGAAAUGCGAUACUUGGUGUGAAUUGCAGAAUCCCGAAUGCGAUACUUGGUGUGAAUUGCAGAAUCCCGUGAACCAUCAAUUCUUUGAACGCAAGUUGCGCCCGAAGCCAUUCGGCCGAGGGCACGCCUGCCUGGGCGUCGUGAAUCCCCUUGCCCCUAGGCACCCGCAUGAGCAUUGGCGGGGAUAUAUGCUCGGGCGCAGAAUAUGGUCUCCCGUGGGAUCGGCAUGCACGGCAUGCAGAGGUGCGGUUGGCCGAAAAUCGAGCAUGGCGGUGACGGGCACCACGGCGUUCGGUGGAUCGAACGAGAUUGGCUGCGUCGUGGGCUCGGCAUGCGGCGGGCUCCGGACUUUGAAUAUCCCCGAGUGCGAUCCCAGGUCAGGCGGGGCUACCCGCUGAGUUUAAGCAUAUCAAUAAGCGGAGGAAAAGAAACUAACGAGGAUUCCCUUAGUAGCGGC